UGACCGCCGGCCAGUGACAAGCCCCCCGUGGAAUGUUGGAGCGGUUCCGUUCUGCCGGGGACAGAGACGCCGCAGCCGCCGAGGGUUCCUCCUCUUGUGUCACGCGAGACCCGGGGGCGGGGAGGGGGGCGCAGGGACCGCCGCCGCCGCCGCCGGAGAGACGCUCCUCCGAGAGCCAGCCAGCCCCGCCGCCCGCCCGCCGGGUGCCUUCUCCUCCUCCUUGUUGCCAUUAAAACAAAUGAACCGAGCUGCUCUGCCCAGCGCCGCCAACUAAAUCGGUUUGGAUGAUUCGCGAUCUGAGCAAGAUGUACCCGCAAACCAGACACCCGGCACCGCAUCAGCCUGCUCAACCCUUUAAAUUUACAAUUUCCGAGUCCUGCGAUAGGAUUAAGGAAGAGUUUCAGUUUUUACAGGCUCAGUACCACAGUUUGAAACUGGAAUGUGAAAAACUGGCCAGUGAGAAAACCGAGAUGCAGCGGCAUUAUGUCAUGUACUAUGAAAUGUCCUACGGGUUGAAUAUAGAAAUGCAUAAGCAGGCAGAAAUUGUCAAGAGGCUGAAUGCUAUCUGUGCCCAAGUCAUCCCCUUCCUGUCCCAAGAGCACCAGCAACAAGUGGUGCAGGCUGUGGAACGUGCCAAGCAAGUGACCAUGGCAGAACUGAACGCAAUCAUUGGGCAACAACUCCAGGCCCAGCAUUUAUCACAUGGACAUGGUCUGCCGGUGCCUCUCACUCCACACCCAUCGGGUCUUCAACCACCUGCCAUCCCACCGAUUGGUAGCAGUGCUGGCCUCUUGGCGCUCUCCAGUGCCCUGGGCGGGCAGUCUCACCUUCCAAUUAAAGAUGAAAAGAAGCACCAUGACAACGAUCACCAAAGAGACAGAGACUCCAUCAAGAGUUCUUCUGUGUCCCCAUCUGCCAGUUUCAGGACUGCAGAGAAGCACAGAAACUCAACAGACUAUUCAUCAGACAGCAAAAAACAGAAAACUGAAGAAAAGGAAAUAACAACUCGUUAUGACAGUGACGGAGAGAAGAGCGACGACAACUUGGUAGUUGACGUUUCCAAUGAGGAUCCCUCUUCCCCUCGAGGGAGCCCAGCACAUUCUCCAAGAGAGAAUGGCCUGGACAAGACCCGUCUGCUCAAGAAAGAUGCCCCAAUUAGUCCAGCCUCUAUUGCAUCUUCCAGCAGUACUCCUUCCUCAAAAUCCAAAGAACUUAGCCUUAAUGAAAAGUCUACUACUCCUGUUUCAAAAUCCAACACUCCCACUCCACGAACUGAUGCUCCGACCCCAGGCAGUAAUUCCACUCCAGGAUUAAGGCCUGUGCCUGGAAAACCACCAGGUGUUGACCCAUUAGCUUCAGGCCUGAGAACCCCUAUGGCCGUCCCGUGUCCAUAUCCAGCUCCAUUUGGCAUUGUUCCACACGCUGGGAUGAACGGGGAGCUGACCAGUCCAGGAGCUGCAUAUGCUGGUCUGCAUAACAUCUCCCCUCAGAUGAGUGCGGCUGCAGCUGCUGCCGCUGCCGCCGCUGCCUAUGGAAGAUCUCCUGUGGUUGGUUUUGAUCCACACCAUCACAUGCGUGUACCAGCGAUCCCACCAAACCUGACCGGCAUCCCUGGAGGAAAACCAGCGUACUCCUUUCACGUUAGUGCAGAUGGUCAGAUGCAGCCCGUACCUUUUCCCCCCGAUGCCCUCAUUGGACCCGGAAUCCCUCGACAUGCUCGUCAGAUCAACACCCUUAAUCAUGGAGAAGUAGUGUGUGCAGUUACUAUCAGCAACCCCACGAGACAUGUGUACACUGGCGGGAAGGGAUGUGUCAAAGUCUGGGACAUCAGCCACCCAGGAAACAAGAGUCCAGUCUCUCAGCUGGACUGCCUGAACAGAGAUAACUACAUCCGUUCCUGCAGAUUGCUCCCUGACGGCCGCACCCUGAUUGUUGGAGGGGAAGCUAGUACAUUAUCCAUUUGGGACCUGGCAGCUCCGACCCCACGCAUCAAAGCUGAGCUGACAUCCUCAGCUCCCGCCUGCUACGCCCUGGCAAUCAGCCCCGAUUCCAAGGUCUGCUUCUCCUGCUGCAGCGACGGGAACAUCGCGGUGUGGGAUCUGCACAAUCAGACGUUGGUCAGGCAAUUCCAAGGCCACACAGACGGAGCCAGCUGUAUUGACAUUUCGAAUGAUGGCACCAAGCUCUGGACGGGAGGUUUGGACAAUACGGUCAGGUCCUGGGACCUGCGAGAAGGACGGCAGUUACAGCAACAUGACUUCACGUCUCAGAUCUUCUCUCUGGGAUAUUGUCCCACUGGAGAGUGGCUUGCAGUUGGGAUGGAGAACAGUAACGUAGAGGUGCUACACGUUACCAAACCAGACAAAUACCAGCUACAUCUACAUGAGAGCUGCGUGUUGUCCCUCAAGUUUGCUCACUGUGGAAAAUGGUUCGUAAGCACUGGAAAGGAUAAUCUACUCAAUGCAUGGAGAACCCCUUAUGGGGCCAGUAUAUUCCAGUCCAAAGAAUCCUCAUCGGUGCUUAGUUGUGACAUCUCUGUGGAUGAUAAGUAUAUUGUCACUGGCUCUGGGGACAAGAAGGCAACAGUCUAUGAAGUUAUUUAUUGAGGACAAAUCCUAAUGCAAACCGGACUCCUCCUUGUAGCACUUUGCUGUAUAAUCCUUUUUUUUUUCUUCCCAAGCCAAGGAUUUAAAACGUUCCUCACAGUUGUGGAGUUGAUUCCCUCCCCUCCCCUCCCCACGCCCCGCUCCUCCUUGCUGUUGAAUUGUGAAUGCUCAUUAAGAACCUGUGAUACCAAAUCUUGAAAUAUCUACUUGGAAGAACUCGGAACAAGCAUACUUAACAGUGAACUGAAUCUUUCGUUAUGUAUUAUAUCUGUAAUAUAUUUAUUUUGUUUAAAGAAGGCUUUCUAACAAUGAACUGAGUUCAUAAAGCUGUCCGCUCCCGCCUUGGUAAUAAAGAAAGAUGAACAGUAAAUUGGCCUCAAAGAGACAACUUAAUCCCUCCUGGAUAUUUUUGCCACAUUUCUUUGAAAAGGGGAGAUGGGCAUCUUUGGGCAAUUUUGUGGUUACAAGAGAUUAUGGAAAACAUUUCACAUGUUUUUUGGGAACUGCACGGGUGCACAGCUGUAGGAAAGGAAUUCCUACCACUGUGUAAGCCAAGCCUUUGAACAAAGAGAGGACAACAGAGGAGGGAGGAUUUGCAAGAAGCCCUCCUCCCGAAGAACAGGAAGAAUGGGCUCUCGCUCGAGAUGAGGACUUGCUCUAUUGGCCAUCGGUUCUUUCCAUGUCUUAGUUGGAUGUCCCUGGAAUAGACACAAGGCUGUUUUGUGCCAUCAUCCCGGAGACAUUGUGUUAUCUUUUUAUGUUGUUGUUGCUGUUGCUGUUAAACCAUGAUCUGUGACUCCUUUUUUAUUAUUAUUAAUUAUUAUUAUUAUUUGUUCGAAUGCUUUAUAAAUCUUUUAAGUCUGUGGAUCUGCUGAUGUACAGUGCCUUUGCUGCUAUGGAUCAAAAUCAAAAGAACCGUGUAGAUAAACUUUAUCGUAUAGGUAGAAAAUUACUUAAUUUCAUACUAGAAAUGGGUUGAUGCUGCAAAUUGAAAUGGACUAUUCAUUGAAGUUCCAAAUGUGGUAGCAGAAAAAAAAAUGGUGUCUUAAGUGCAUUGUGUUUGAUGUCAUUGACAGUUUCGUAAUACUCUACAGUGUAGAAAGAUUUUGAUACUAAACUGUGCAUUGUACAUAGUUCUAAUGCAUUGUAUUGACCACCAGUACUUCUAUAAUGGUAGAAUAUUGUUUGUGCAUUCAGACUUUUAAGCAUUAAACAUAAAUAACUUCUAGGA
RNA transcript from Trichosurus vulpecula (common brushtail), 3837 nucleotides. It is a transcript of the gene named transducin-like enhancer protein 4, with no coding region annotated. NCBI's taxonomy places the organism in Eukaryota, Metazoa, Chordata, Mammalia, Diprotodontia, Phalangeridae. The record is from RefSeq and is a predicted model, not a curated record. The transcript has 21 exons.